Molecule: ribosomal RNA, 450 nt
Filed under: uncultured bacterium
Lineage: Bacteria
Description: bacterial SSU rRNA
Rfam family: Bacterial small subunit ribosomal RNA
Source: RNAcentral
GUCGAGAAUCUUCCGCAAUGCGCGCAAGCGUGACGGAGCGACGCCGCGUGGGCGAUGAAGGCCUUCGGGUUGUAAAGCCCUGUCAGCUACCAUGAAUGGCGGGCGGUGAAUAACUGUCCCGCUUGACGUAAGUAGCAGAGGAAGCACCGGCUAACUACGUGCCAGCAGCCGCGGUAAUACGUAGGGUGCAAACGUUGUUCGGAAUCACUGGGCAUAAAGGGCGCGUAGGCGGUAUGGCAAGUCAGGUGUGAAAUCCCCCGGCUUAACCGGGGAACUGCAUUUGAUACUGCUGUGCUAGAGUGCAGGAGGGGAGAGCGGAAUUCCAGGUGUAGCGGUGAAAUGCGUAGAUAUCUGGAGGAACGCCGGUGGCGAAAGCGGCUCUCUGGCCUGUUACUGACGCUGAGGCGCGAAAGCUAGGGGAGCAAACGGGAUUAGAUACCCGUGUAGUCC